RNAcentral lists this ribosomal RNA (726 nucleotides) under uncultured bacterium. RNAcentral describes it as "bacterial SSU rRNA". It matches the Rfam family "Bacterial small subunit ribosomal RNA", at positions 72 to 767 of the family's 1533-position model. The record is from RNAcentral.
UCUUUAUCACCGAGUGCUUGCACUCACCGGUAAAGGGUUGAGUGGCGAACGGGUGAGUAACACGUGGGCAACCUGCCCAAAAGAGGGGGAUAACACUUGGUAACAGGUGCUAAUACCGCAUAACCAUAGUUACCGCAUGGUAGCUAUGUAAAAGGUGGCUAUGCUACCGCUUUUGGAUGGGCCCGCGGCGCAUUAGCUAGUUGGUGGGGUAAAGGCUUACCAAGGCAAUGAUGCGUAGCCGAACUGAGAGGUUGAUCGGCCACAUUGGGACUGAGACACGGCCCAAACUCCUACGGGAGGCAGCAGUAGGGAAUCUUCCACAAUGGGCGAAAGCCUGAUGGAGCAACGCCGCGUGGGUGAAGAAGGUCUUCGGAUCGUAAAACCCUGUUGUUAGAGAAGAAAGUGCGUGAGAGUAACUGUUCACGUUUCGACGGUAUCUAACCAGAAAGCCACGGCUAACUACGUGCCAGCAGCCGCGGUAAUACGUAGGUGGCAAGCGUUAUCCGGAUUUAUUGGGCGUAAAGGGAACGCAGGCGGUCUUUUAAGUCUGAUGUGAAAGCCUUCGGCUUAACCGGAGUAGUGCAUUGGAAACUGGGAGACUUGAGUGCAGAAGAGGAGAGUGGAACUCCAUGUGUAGCGGUGAAAUGCGUAGAUAUAUGGAAGAACACCAGUGGCGAAAGCGGCUCUCUGGUCUGUAACUGACGCUGAAGUUCGAAAGCGUGGGUA